GCUGGCUAGAACUUGCGGUAUUCUGUUGAAUAGCAGUGGUCUUCUCCAUGAAAGAUGUCUACAAUGAAAAUUCUGAAACACUGAUGAAAUAAGUUGAAGACUACACAGAAAACGGAAAGAAAUCUCAUGUUUAUGGAUUGGAAGAAUCAAUAUGGUUAAAAUGCUCAUACUACUGAAGGUGAUCAACAGAUUCAAUGCAAUCCUUAACCUAUGACAUUCUUCACAUAAAUAGAAAAAACAAUUAUAAAAUGUAUGUAGAACCACAAAAUACCCAGAACAACCAAAGUAAUUAUAGGCAAAAAGAAAAAAGCUAGACACAUCCCAUUACUUGACUUCAAAUAGUAAAGCUGUAAUAAUCAUUGCAGCAUGGUACUAGCAUAAAAACAGACAAAUAGACCAAUGGAACAGAAUAGAGAACUCAGAAAUAAAUCCACAAACUUAAAAUGAACACAUUUUUGACUAAAGUACCGAGAAUUUACACUGAGGAAUAUCAGCCUCUUUAAAAAAUGCUGUUGGGAAAACUGGAUCUCUGUAAUGCAGAAGAAUGAAACGAGACCCCCUUUUCACCAUAUAACAUCUUAGUUAAAUAUUAAAUGGAUUAAAAACUUAAAUGCAAGAACUUAAUCUAUGUAACUGCUAGAAGAAAAUAUUAGGGAAAUGCUUCAGGAUAUUGGCCUGGACAAAGAUUUCUUGAGUAGGACCUCAAAAGCACAGGCAACCAAAGCAAAAAAUAGACAAAUGGGAUUAAAUCAAGCUAAAAUGUUUCUGCACAACAAAGGAAAAAAUUAACAGUUACAACAACCUACAGAAUGGCAGAAGAUAUUUGCAAACUAUUCAACUAAUGAAGAAUUAAUAACCAGAAUAUAUAAGAACAUUGACAUUUUAAGACAUUGGUUUGGGCAAAGAUUUCUUGGGUAAGACCUUAAAGGCACAGGCAAGCAAAACAAAAAUGGACAAAUGGCAUCAAAUCAAGCUAAAAUGUUUCUGCACAUCUAAAGAAACAGUUAACAAAGUUGAGACAACCCUAUAGAAUGGGAAAAAAUGUUUGCAAACUGUUCAACUAACAAGGAAUUAAUAACCAGAAUAUAUAAAGGAGUCAAACAACUCAAUAGCAAAAUAAACACAUAAUUUGAGUAAAAUAUGGCAAAAUCUUUUUAUCUUUUGUAAGCCGCAU
Molecule: long non-coding RNA, 1174 nt
Filed under: Homo sapiens (human)
Lineage: Eukaryota; Metazoa; Chordata; Mammalia; Primates; Hominidae
Description: HSALNT0173158
Source: RNAcentral